Long non-coding RNA from Cydia pomonella (codling moth), 5110 nucleotides. RefSeq lists it as uncharacterized. The record is from RefSeq and is a predicted model, not a curated record. The transcript is spliced from 2 exons. Lineage: Eukaryota; Metazoa; Arthropoda; Insecta; Lepidoptera; Tortricidae.
UUAUCAUAAUGUUUACAUCAAAUAUGCUAUAUAUUCGCGUUUUAUUUGCGUAUAUAUCAAACGUGUGUUUGUAACCUCCUUAGCCAGCGAGUGACUCGCGCUAGAACGGUCCGGGUUCAAGCUGAGGCGUCACGUGAUCGUCGUGACUGGUCACCCGCUAUAGAAAACGAAGUGCCGUAGCAUGAGCUAUGCUUUACUUAAAGAUUAUGCAAUAAAUUAACAUUUACAAUCUCUGGUAUAAUUAUUGGCCAUGUAAUGUAAUGAACAACAAUAUCUAUCGUUAGUAGUUACUAUGUAUCUUAUUCAAAAUUUUGUAACAAAAGUUUUGUAUAAAUCUAUAAUUAACAUCUACACGCUGUAAAUAUUAAAUCUCAAAAAUAUUAAUUAAACCAAAUCCACCAAAAUCUUUUGACGACCUACUAACGAACUGUAAGAUAAGUAGGUAGGGGAAAUUGUUGUACCUUGGACCUAGUUUUACCUCGAACGGUUGGUAUUAAUUCCACAUUACCACGGUUAUUACUUAAUUUAUAUAGUUUGAAACUUUAUUCUUAAUUACCAAAAUCAAGCUAUCAACGAAACUCGAGAGCGGCUGGUAUCUCAAGAAAAAAAUUAAAAUAUAAAUUGUGUCAUGAAAAAUCAGUAUUUUGAACUUUACAUCAAGGAUGAUUAUUUCAUGGUUUGCUAAUAGAUAGCAAGACUUAAUAGGUUAAGUGUAAGUUAAUUAGCUACUUCAUCGUAGGAUCAUUAGCUUAAUUGGAAGGGCUAUUACGAAGCUUACUUAUCGAUAAAGUUGCUUUGUUGUACCUCGAACACCGAAAAUAUGUUGUACCGUGGCCCGUUCUAGCUAGUACUGAAAAUAUAUAAUAUUUGCUGUAUUUCUAAUUAUUGGUUAUCUGCGUUGUAAAUUACCAAGUAAUCGAUCUUAGAAAGGACUCCUAAAAUGUUUUAAGCCAAAUUAAAAUAUGACCAUUACUAACUAUAUUUUUCUAAGGAAAUUUGUACUAAAUAAAUAUAUUGAAUGGCGUAAAUGUGCUAAAAAUAUCCGUGAUUUCAUAUUAAAUAUUAUUUGUAUAUUUAUAUCAUAAAUUUAGUCAAUAAAAUUAUCAUGUCCGAGGCACAACAGGAUAUGUCCGAGGUACAUCAGGGGUGUUGUUCCUUAGACACUUUUCCCUUUUUUUAAUCAACCUAUCGUAUCAAAAUAAAUAAUUCAAUCCUUUAGUUUUAUAUCGUCUUUGAUAGUUUGUUAAUAUAUCUUAUAAUAUUCGGAUAAAAAACAAUUCUGCAGCCUUAAGUUUUUUUUUUUCUAAAAAUCAGAAAAGAAAAAUCUGUCCUAGGUAGAACAGCUUCCCCUACUUAAAAGUGUAUAUCGAUCCAUCGGUCUAUCACUUACCUUCUAAGUUUUUAAACAAAAACUUGUUUAUAUACUAAUUUUUUUCUUACUUAACAUAAUACAAUUCAGUUUCUUCCAACCAGAUCAUAUUAACUUCUUACCAACAUCAGUUAAAACGGUGGACCUUGCGGUGAACUUGCCAGGCAGCUUUCAAAGUGACAUAAGAAGGCAAUCUAUAUCUAUAUAGAUAUGAUAUCUAACUGUAGUAUUUUUGUUAUCAUUCGCUCGUGCGUCUCGCUCGCACCAAUGCUUGUGGAGGAUAAGUACGAGCGAAAUGCACGCUCGAAUUGAUCAUUAAAUGACAUUAUUUAGAUAUCAUUUUGAUGUCAAAUAUUCGCUCAAAUUGGCCUCUGUAUUAUAAUAGAUAUAGCUUUAGCCAUGGCAAAUACGUUUUGCGGGCAAGUUGUCCGAUCGUUAGCCAGGUUCCGCAUUGGAAUCGUCGCCCAUUCAAACUUAUAAUGUAGUUGUUGGAUUCUGUUAUACCUUACGAUGCUUAUUUGCAAAGCGAAAUUUUGUAAACAGUUUCUAAUCGUGAGCUGGUUUUAUAUUUAUAUGUGUGUGAAUUUAUUUCUAACUCUUAUUUUCAUCUCACUUUUAAAGCGAAUAAGUCUAAAGGAGUUGUCGUUGAGUCUUUACGAAAGAGCCAGGUUUUGCCCACUUAGACUGACAGGCUCUUGGAGUUUCAGUUUUCCAGUAAAGUGACUGUGUGUUUUUCUCGUCAUUGUAGUAGUUCACACCCUUUUCAGAUGAUUAAAUUCGGCUCUACAAAAUACCGUUUAGUUAGUUAGAGUAGAUUUAUACUCCUCGUUUUCGGUUUAUCUGCCUCCACUCCAAACCGCGUUGCUGCCAUGGUAAACUUUCCUAUUAGUUUCAUUUGGUGCCUUUGGAUCAGCAUGGAAAGCGAGCGGUACACCCCGGCGUAGAAAUUGAUGAGUCAUAUUCGAGCCUAGUCAUUGACAUACGAUUAAAAUUUAGAUUUUAGACUACUGCAAAGAAAUUCAAACGUCGCAUGGUAUAAACUGUAUUGCCGGCCGGUGCCGGGGAAUCGGCACGGAGGAUUAAGUUUUAAUCGGCCAGGCGGGCGACGGACUCUGCGCUACGAAUGCAGUCAUCGAGUAAAUAACUGGUACAAUCAGUUUUGUAGGGACUUCUAGCAAAAGUUGAUUAUUCAUUACAUCGAUGAGUUUAUUCCAAACAUUUCUAUGCCACAACAGAGAUAUAAUUUUCUGUAUGUAAAAUAAUAUUUUACCCAAAAGGCCCAAAUAAAGCUUUUAAACAUUACUAACACUGCAACUAGUACAGCGUUAAGCGAUGCUGACGGGUCUGGCCGCCAAAAGUAGUAUUGUAAUGAACAGAAAACACCGUGUAGGUACUAACGCGUGCGUAAUGCAUAUAAAAUUUUAGAAUGCCUACCUGCGUGUACAUAUUUAAUAAAACGGUUGCUGUUCUUUAAGGUAAGGCAAUUUGUAGAGUCAAGUACCUAGUGAUUGAUAUUCGUAGCGUAGUUACACUUCUAUCAUCUCUCAUGUCGGACUCUCACAAUAACAUACUUUCUUUUUAGAACGUGACAGUCACAAAAGCAGGUGACAAAUGCGAAACCAUCUAUAAAUGACAUUCAGAUGACGACUGCUCGGCUACGGCUAGUUGACAAUGUUAGCAUCGCACUUACGACUUGGCACAGCGUACUUACAGCGCCUGUUGGACAGCGGUGCUUGAGGAGUAACUAUAAGCGGUAAGCGCGCCGUCGACACGCCGACGGCGAAAUGCUAUUGCGGUCAACGCAUCGGUUAACUUAGGCGGAGGGAAAACGAGGCGAUGCUGUUCCGAUGCCUAUAGUGUGCAUUACAGUAUGGAGUAUCCGGAGCGCGGAAUAAUAAGCGCGCCGGUUUGAGCAGGUGCUGAUCUGGUGCCUACCUUUUUGGUGUACUUAGGCCUAUAGGUCCGCUCUCGGAGCAGAGUCGAAUUUUAAAUUGUAAGUACUUAAUAGCAAGAUGUAAAGUUAUGACGAAAAUUGGUAAGUAUGUAUUUUAAUAUCUGUUAUGGCGCCCAAUAGCUUAGAUGAAUAGAUAUAUAACAAUUUGACAAUAUACUGUAACGUAUCUUUAACCAGUGCGUAACCUUGUAACACUUUGGGGUAUCCACCCAGUGUUAUAAACAGCUGAGUAGCAUGCUAUAUAGGUACUUUAUAGGUUAGAGAUUAGUAUGUUUGUUUUGGUAAGAUUUGGUAGUUGAAAAUGUAGUUGAAAUGUCUUCGACACGGAUGUCAUAGUGGGUCAGUCAAGGACUGAGACCUGUAGUGAUAUUUUCAACUUUACAUAUACGCUUUUAGCUAUAUUGAGUGGACAAAACUUACCGGAGCGGUAGGUCGGUCUGUGCGUUCACUCCGUUGCAUUUUGCGCAUCCAUGUCGUGUUCCUGCGUUGUGCUAGGACACAGGCACUUUGUUUGCGUUGGGGUAUAUACAUUUCACAAUUGAAAUAAAUUUUAAAACUUAGAAAUACCACGUAAUUAACAGUAUGAAUUCGAUAAAACCGAGCAGUUGUUUAUUUCAGCGGUAGACACUGACGGCUGUCAAUGUCAUUUAUUUUUUUUGUCCAUGGUUCCGUAACAGACGGUCGGUCACACUUGUUGUAUGACAAUAAACAUAUACUUGUGGUUCUUUUAUCUUUUUUAUAAUUUCCAAUUAUUAAUAAAGUCCGUAUUAUUAGCAUCCAAAAUGAGUAACUUUUUUAUUGUUGAUGUUUCGAAUUAUUCCGAGAGUCAAACCGGUCAGUCGUGGUAUCCAUUGAAUGGGAAGGUUUUCAUUCAUCAGUUUGUCUGUGGUUUCUCGGAUUGGAAUUUUGAUAAAUCAUUGUUCGAUCGAUCUUCGAGAUGUGAAGGAUCUUAGAAAAUCUUUGGGCAAUCAAUCUUAGGGCUCGUCCCAAAAUGUGCAUAAUUUAGCGUCUUAGAGCCUACCUAAAAUGGCGGCUGCUAAUCUUUUCCCUUCAAUUUAACAUAACUUGGUGAGUUUCCACACUUUUUAAAUAUAUAAAGAAGGAAAGGCGGAGGUAGUGUGUCCUUUCGCAAAUGGGUUAAUAUAGUGUUUUAUGUGGAUUUUCCAGCAAAACCUAAUGUAACGUCAACCACCUCUUCGUCUUGCCACGCGGUCUGCAGACGCCGUCGUUGGUAUAGGAAAUAAUGGACCCGGCAUAAACCCCGGUAAGUCAUUUAAUCGCUUCAUUACCGUAAUUUAAAUCGCGCGUUUAAAAUAUAAUUUUUCUAUAAAACUAAACGUGUUAAAACAUAAUUUUUUUUAACCUAGAACAUUUUCUUUGUUCUUAGGGUUUUUCUGGACCCUGGAUUUUCUAAGGCUGUGCCAUCCGGUGGCAGCGUUCUUCUUGGCAGUGUCCGUGAAGUUAAGACUUUUAUGAUAUACCUUUAGUUAAAUAUGGACCCUUUACGCUGAACAGGUAACCUGUAAUCCCUGUGAGCAAUUGCUUACUGCUAAACAUCCCCGGAGGUUGGGGCAUAACUUUUACUGUAGACAGUGUUAUGUUAGGAAGACAAAUUUUUAUAUUGUUGUCCGUAGACACAGAGAUGCCUAUGAUGUAUUUAGUGUAAAUUUCAAGAAAUAGUGGUGUCACUAAGAAGUAUUUAGUAUUACUUAUUUACUAAUAAAUAACUCGUGUUGACCAUAGCGGGUCAUAUAUAUUUAAGGAAUAAAAGGUGUGUAUUAAAUAAA